This 1056-nucleotide long non-coding RNA is filed under the name Monodelphis domestica (gray short-tailed opossum). RNAcentral describes it as "lncRNA (ENSMODG00000041813.1)". Lineage: Eukaryota; Metazoa; Chordata; Mammalia; Didelphimorphia; Didelphidae. The record is from RNAcentral.
AUGUGCAUGACAUGUAAAACACAGUGGAACUGCUCAAUGGCUAUGGGGGGGGGGAGGGGGGGGGAGGGGAGGGGGGACGACCAGCCGAAGCGAGAGCGAAGCUCCGGCGUUCCUCCGCCAACCGGGGACAGAGGGAGGGGGGCGAGGGAGGGGGAGAGAGGGCCUAGGGCCCUGCCCCGCCCCCGCGCAGGGAUCCGCGCCACUGGCAUCAGCCCCCACCCCAAUCCCCCUCCCACCGCCCAGCGCCUGACUACAGUUCCUAGCCCCCUCCACCCCGACUGUCGACAGAAAGGGACGAAGAUGACGAGAACUGCUGUGAGCAAAGAGGGGAAGCUUCGGGAUUCUUUUUCUUUUGUCCUUGGUGCGGAAGGAUUUUCAUGGCGUGGAGAGUGAUUAUACAACCGCGAUGACGCAAGCCCUUCCUCCCCUCCCAGUCCUCCCCAACCUGCCUUCCCCAAGGGUGGAGGAAAGGGCGCACGCGCCACUGGAGAAAGAACGACGUCAUUGGUCAUCUAGUCCAGCCCUCGAAGCGAGCAAACAAGGAUUUAUCUAGCUGUGCUUAAAGGAGUUUGUAGUCAGCCGGGUAGCCCUCGGGGAAUUCUGAUUUUGUUAAAAGACAUAGCGUUUUUCCCCUUCUUCUGAAGUGGUGGAAUAUAGUAAUAAUAGUUAGCAUUUUUAUAUAUUGCCCGAAAAUUGAUAACACUUUGAAAAUUGUGUAUCAUUUUAUCCUCACAACCCUGGGAGGAGGUCUUUAUAGAUGAAACAACUGAAGCCCAAGUUAGUUCGUAUGUGUGUUUGCUAAUCACUUAUUUUCAGGAAAUAUAUCUCAGAUUUGACUGAGAGAAUGCCGAUGGAAUGAUGCACAUAUAAGGAACAGAGGUAGUGUCAUAACUUUUGGGAAAAAACAUUCAGAGAGCAAGAUAGGAUGUUGCCAAUAGGAAGUAAAAUCAAGAUUACAUCAAUGUGUCUUUGAUUUUGUGGACUUGGAAAAAACACAGAACUUAUAAAGUAGUCAUAAAAAAUAAAUCUUUAAUCAGGAAAGAGACGAGUCCUUAA